GGGGCGUCAGUGUGAGUCCGGCCCAGCGCCGCACCGUGCUGCGGAGGAGCCAGACGGACUUGGGGUGCGGGCCGCCAGGCGCAGGCUCCGGGACACCACACCUCCGGGCCCUAAGGUCUCUCAGUGCGGUGAGGGUUCUGCGGGAGCUACAGCCACGCUCGCGGACGCGCCCGGGGCGGGGUCUCGCUCCCGCGAGGGCCGGGCUAGGCUUCUUCUGGUCUGUAUUUGGCUUUAUCUCUAGGUGUCCUGGACCGCUGCCUGGCUACAGUUAUCUGUUUCACAUCAGUUGCCUAUCCAUCCUUGGAACGUUCGGCCCCUUAGCGAUGCGGCCUGUUGAGAGCACUGGCAUCAGUGUGCUCACAGUAUCCCAGGAGACGCCUGCCUUUGCAGUUCAGAGUCUGGAUAGAAUUGUUUCCAGCUGUGGGUCGGUGGGCCAGAAAAAAUCUCAGAGCCCAAGUUCCUUCCUGCAUAAAGUGGAGAGUUGCUUACUAUAUACAAGGUCUACUUUAGCAUCACAUAUCGACCUUGUCAAGAUGUCCUACGUGUCCUAAAUUCAUCUUUUCAUGGUAAAUUAUAACACCACAAGACUAGUUUCCCUGCUACAAUGAUCAGCCUUUGAAUUAUUUAUAAAUAGUACUGGCUGAAAAAAAUCCUUCUUCCACUCAUAAAGAUUUUAACAAUCCCCAAGGUAUCUCUUGCAGGUUUGAAAAAGAGAAGGAACUAAAAUGCUUAUUUUUAUACUUAAAGGAAAAUAAAAUUUUGCCUUCAGACCC
RNAcentral lists this long non-coding RNA (773 nucleotides) under Mus musculus (house mouse). Its description in RNAcentral is "long non-coding RNA chr2:130840195-130840968". The record is from RNAcentral. Lineage: Eukaryota; Metazoa; Chordata; Mammalia; Rodentia; Muridae.